ACGAACGCUGGCGGCGUGCCUAAUACAUGCAAGUUGAGCGAUGAAGAUUGGUGCUUGCACCAAUUUGAAGAGCAGCGAACGGGUGAGUAACGCGUGGGGAAUCUGCCUUUGAGCGGGGGACAACAUUUGGAAACGAAUGCUAAUACCGCAUAACAACUUUAAACAUAAGUUUUAAGUUUGAAAGAUGCAAUUGCAUCACUCAAAGAUGAUCCCGCGUUGUAUUAGCUAGUUGGUGAGGUAAAGGCUCACCAAGGCGAUGAUACAUAGCCGACCUGAGAGGGUGAUCGCCCACAUUGGGACUGAGACACGGCCCAAACUCCUACGGGAGGCAGCAGUAGGAAAUCUUCGGCAAUGGACGAAAGUCUGACCGAGCAACGCCGCGUGAGUGAAGAAGGUUUUCGGAUCGUAAAACUCUGUUGGUAGAGAAGAACGUUGGUGAGAGUGGAAAGCUCAUCAAGUGACGGUAACUACCCAGAAAGGGACGGCUAACUACGUG
Molecule: ribosomal RNA, 496 nt
Filed under: uncultured bacterium
Lineage: Bacteria
Description: partial 16S ribosomal RNA
Rfam family: Bacterial small subunit ribosomal RNA
Source: RNAcentral